CAGGCAUCUGGAGAGGUGAGCCUGUCAGCAGUUCUGUCCCUUCAUGAGAUGAGAGGUUCUUCUGCUUAAAUCCCCCCAGGCCUUUGAAAGGACAGGUACCACAAUACUCACAGUGCAUAGUGAGGCAUCUCCAGUGACCUUUGUGGACUGAUAAAUGCAGGGCUGGAGGCCUGGAGUAAAGUUAUAAGUCAGUCACUAAGAGAGCGAAGUCGUGAUUUUCUUGAAAAUAUAUGUUAAAAGGGAUAAAAAAUCAAACUUUGAAGCAAAAAAGACAGUAAUUGUGGAAUACACAUAAAUACAGAACGAAGAAAAGGAAUCAGAUAAAAUUACUUCUAUAGCUUAAGUUUUGUCUCUAUUCACAAGAAGAACAUUUAUGCAACCUUUCCAUACCCUGGCAAGAGAGUGCUUUGUAAACAUCUUGAAGACCUACAUUCAGAGUCUGAGACUAUCCAAGCAUCCUCCUAUAGGUCUACAUUGCAAACAGGAGACCCGUACCUGCUGAGUGAGAAAACUGGAAGUUAAUGAAGAAGGCAGUCAGUGAUGGAAGCAGGUGUAACUCCUGUGAGUGACGAUUUUUCAUGCCUUAUUUUAUUUUAUUUUAUCUCAUUUUAUUGAGACAGAGUCUCAUUCCGUCUCCCAGGCUGGAGUGUAGUGGUACGACCUUGGCUCACUGCAACUUUCACCUCCCG
This 689-nucleotide long non-coding RNA is filed under the name Aotus nancymaae (Ma's night monkey). RNAcentral describes it as "lncRNA (ENSANAG00000038969.1)". Lineage: Eukaryota; Metazoa; Chordata; Mammalia; Primates; Aotidae. The record is from RNAcentral.